Molecule: long non-coding RNA, 7520 nt
Organism: Lagopus leucura (white-tailed ptarmigan)
Lineage: Eukaryota; Metazoa; Chordata; Aves; Galliformes; Phasianidae
Exons: 8
Source: RefSeq, a predicted model, not a curated record
GGCGCCGAGGCCGGACGUCCUGCCCCGCGCCCGGCCGGAGCCGGAGCCCCGCUCGUCCGGCAGAAGCCGAAGCUUAACAAAUGAUGUAAGGAAGAUGGAUACCACGCUUCUUAUUCAGUCCAUCCUAAGAAUUACAGAUGCUGGAUAAAGUCUCCCUCCUGUAACUGAAACAGCAGCAUGACUAAUGAGUGUUUCUCUCCAGUGAUCUAAUGGCAAGUGAUCUUUCUCAUGCCAUGCACAUUGCUACACUGUUCCCUACCAUAACAAGUUCACUGGAUUAUACAGUUCAUCCUCUACCAGAAGUGCCCACGAAGAGAAGCAGCUUGAAGAGUGACACCUGAAUGCCAGAUGACAUACAGAUUUACAGAAGUAUAUGAUUUGGAAGGAUAAAACUUCCUUGUGGUGUACUCAUGACAAGGUGGAAUACCUGUGGCGUACUCAUGACUGUGUUGUCAAAGGCAGACGAAGGAGAAGUCAGAUUAGAAGCAGAAACUAAGCAAGGAGGUGUUUAUGAUGGGAAAGGCACUGAACAGCAUCAAGCAAGGCUACAAGACUAGGAACAGCAGCAGCAACAGUAGAAAAAGAACAUGGAACUGAGAAAAUUGAGAAAGCAUACGUACCAUGGGAGGGGGUAAGAGCUAACAAAGACUCUGUGAGGGCCAGUGGCCAAGAAGACAAGCACAAUGAAAAACAGCAGGGGGCCUAGCUGACUUUGCAAGAAUUUAAAAUAAGGAAAACAGGAAAAAAUGAGAAUCUCCAUGCUGUAGAGAGAGCAUUUGUUGGGACAGCAGUGAAGCAGGUUUGCUCUGUACACUGCAAGAAAGUCCUUGGCACACAACUAGGUACUGCAUGGUCAUCUUGCUUGCAGCAGCAAUCUCUUCAAAAUGUUCACUCUGGUUUCAAAUUGUUCAACAGGACAGUUGUGACUACUGGCAUCUGGGCUAAUGUCAUUCUACAGAUUGGGAUCUGAUGGCUCAUUUUCCCAUAUGUCAUUCACAAUGCCAGUAAAAGAAAUGAACAAGUCACAGACACACAGUAUGCUCCUCCCUUCUCAUCUCCCUGCAAAUAGGUAUCAGGAUCCCUGCAGUCUUACAGCAGCCAGCAGAAACAGUCGGGCCAGCUGGCAGGCAGCAGCACCUGCCCAUGAGAAGCACAACGUGGCAGCUGCUCUUCUGCUGGCUGCUGUCAGGGGCAGCCUACAAACCAGUGGACGGAAGCUCUGCCUUAAGGUAACUGCUGUUAUUCCCUAGAAGCUGCAGAAUUGAAGCUGUCAUUUCUCAUCACCUUUUCUGGCAUUCUCCACAGAUGCAGGAUUGGGUACACAGAGAUCUCUGGUGACCAGGGCAGUCACAGUUUCCCUGCUUCUUUGCAAAAGCAAAACCUCAUGAAACUCAAGUUAUUGAACGGCCUUUGAAUUUAUAUCAAGAAAUUAUCUCCAGAACAGCUCAUCUUGGCUGUACUUAACAAACUCAAUUCCUACCUGAAGCCAGGGAUGCUCUAAGGCUUCCUCUAUCGUAAAACGUUUGCUUGGAUCCACUACCAACAGCUUCUUCACAAGAUCAAGAGCUAAGAUAAUAAGAGUUAAGCAAUCAGCUACUUAAAAAAUGCAAACAGAUCAACAUGCAAUGUACCACAAAAAUGAAAACUGAAAGGAAGUUAAAACAAACUUCAACAAAAGAAAAGAUCUAGAUAUUCUGCUACCUAUAUAAAGGAGUCAUACCCAUGUUGGAUACGUGUUUCCAUUCUUUUGAAAUGAAUGUGUAUUCUCCACGAGUGAUUUGGUCUUUCAGAGAUAGUUGAGUAUUUUGCUCAUUAAAUGGCGGAUAUCCACACAAGCUAUAUGAAAGAAAACAAACAACACGGGUUUUGUCACAGUGUCAUUUACAUGUAUACAUUUUUAAACACACUUUCACUUCCUACUAAAUACACUGAAGUUGCCACAUCUUGAGCCACGUAUCUCAAUGAAAGCCCAAGGCAUCUAAGCAGUAUCUUACCAUACAAAAAGAAUAACUCCUAAACUCCAGCAGUCCACAGCUCGGCUGUAUCCAGCAGUCCCAAGUGAAUUUAGAACCUCAGGAGCAAGAUACGUGGGAGUACCACAUAAUGUUUUCAUAAGAGAAGUUUCUCCAAGAAUCUUGGAUUGUCCAAAAUCUGUAAUCUUGUAUGUAAAAAUUGUAACACCACGUUACAUAUUGACUGGACUAGAACAUACCACAUCCUCAGCACAAUAGAGGUAACAUUAAGUCUCUUCUUUCCAAGGCACAGUUCCAGUACAAGACUAUGAACAGAAUAUACCUCAAACAUUAUUAAAGUCAGCAAACAGCAAUUGAGGAGAAUAUGAGUACGGAGAAAUAUGACAGAGGAUCAGACUUCAAACUAGCAAAAAGUAUUCUCAAAUCUGGAUGUGAACGGGCAACCUCAGAAUAAAGGUAUUUUUGCAUAUUAGAAGACACCACUUGAACAAAUCAUUUUGACAUGCACAUCUACUUAAUGCUUUCUGAAAAUACAUACAGCUCUGUCAUCAUAUAGCCUGGAUAUUCGUGAAAAUGCUUUCUGAAAUUCACAAAUAUAGAUUUUAUUUUUAAAGAUGGCACCACAUUUAAAAUUGUGCCCAGUUAAAUGUUAAAGAAUACAGUUUCUCAGUCAUUCUCACAGAAACGUAUGGGUAGAACUAUCCACGAGAGUAAAACUGAACAUAUGAAAAGCCUCAAAGUUUUAGGUUACUUCACAACUUGUAUGAGUAAUUCUAUUGUUUGUGUGCUGUGUUUAACUCAAUACUGAGAAGCACAGAAAGGAGUACUCCCAAAUCUCCACAUAAGCAGUAGAAAUGUAAGCUUCCUUGCCUUUAUCAGACACGUCUCUUCAGAAGAUGAAAGCAGCACGUUCUCUGGCUUCAGAUCCCGGUGUAUGAUUCCAUUGUCAUGAAGAUACUAGAUAAACACAAAUAUACAUACAUGAAGAAGAGCAGACUGUUAUCCUUCUUUAAGAUGUAUGCUUUCAGUUUUUCAACUAGCACUGGCAGGAUAACUGAAACUGCUAUUCAAGAGACAUGCAUGAAUUUAAAGCUACACAGCUCAUGACCUUUUUUAAAGCCAAAGAAGUCCACCCUUCAGUUUGCAAAGACUGAAAUGCUUCGUCAGGGCGCACAGUGCAGCACUUAAGCACUAAUAGUUUGAAGGCUUUGCUCACACACUACUGCAAGUCCCACAUGAUAAUCCUGCCUCAGUGAGCACAGUGUGUGUUACUGCCUCAAUCUCUGGUGGUUGUUUUAAGCAGUAAGAGAGUUUGAAUGCUAUUUGGCUGUACUGAAGUGCAGAAUCUUGUUACAAUUACUUGUGAAUAGCACUGUGCUGAUUACUCUCAUAAGUUUCAGAAGUGACAAAUAACAAAAAAAUUCAUCCAAUUGACAUGUAAAUGCAUCACCAUAUUUUCCUUGAUAGAAUUCACAAUUACCUUCACAGCCAGCAGCAUCUGAUAAAAGUACAACUUGCAGGUACCUUCUUUCAUCUUGAUUGGCCUUGACACUCUGUCAUACAAUUCUCCUCCUUCCAUCCUAAAACAGAUGUAGGUAACAAGUCAAUAAAUUACUUUCAAAAGUUUCAUCUCAUUACACAAGACCAAGACCAAAAUUGUUUCUUUUGGCUCUAAAAUAUAUUUCAAUUCUGAAAAUGAAUGAGCAAUGCUCCAAACACAGCACAGGCAUUGCUGACUUAAGGCCUAAUCUUCUGAAGUGUUCACUGGAAGAAGUUACAAGAUUUCUGAUUUACAUCCUCUUAUCAGCUCAAAAUCAAGUAGCAGCAACCCAAAUCGGCAGCAUAGUGGGUGUCUAUUCAAGGCACUAAUUGCCUUCAGUGUGUAGAAGUGAUUAAUCCCCUCAUUAUCCCAGCUCCUGAUUUUUCAGAGGCUUCAGACAGUGCUUGAAGCCAGCAAAAGGAAAAGAAAACAAGAAGAAAACACACAUACACAACAGAAUUCAGAACUAUUUACAUUCUUUAUAGCUGUGGAAGACAUUUCAUGCCUUUACUUUCAAAGCAGUUACUUACAGUUCCAAAACAAUGUAGUAAUCCUCUGCUUCGAAGAAGUUUUUGAUCUUGAUUAAGCAAGGCUAAUAAAAAGGGAACACAGAUGGACACAUGGAAAAGUAGAAUCACUUGUAAAAACUAAUGCUAUCAACUGCGUAUCAUCUUGAAUUUCCUAUUUCAGUCUGAUUUCCCCAUGGCAGCUAAAUUAGCACUUACACAACCAAUAGGCUUUGGCAAACAAAGUCUGUUGUCUUCUCCCCUGUACUUCACCCCCCAUACAAAUAACACUGAAUUCUUGCCACCACUACAGCUCAGCAGUCACCCUUACUUUUUCCAGUCAUCAGUUUCCACAACAACCCCGAUAUCUUCUUGAUACACAAGAGUUCAUUAAUCUGUGCAAGCUUUCUACUUAACAAAAGGAAAAUAAAAGCCUUUGGGUGGGGGGGAGCUGGGAAGAUAAGGAUCCAGCUCAAGAACUUGCCAGAGGAGUCUAAUGUUGGUUAUCUGGCAAUCUGUAUGAAGCCUGCAUCAAGGACAGAUUUCUCCCACAGCUAUAGUUCAGGUUGAAAACUCCUCUGCAAAGUGCCUUCCCAAAUUUACAUCUGGACAUCAAGACUUUAAAACCUCCUACCUGCAAAGAUACAGUAUACUUAAAAUAAUAUGAAACGUGCUGAACAGACUUAUUUAGGCUGCAAUAAUGACAUGCAUCAUUCUCUAAACAGGUAAAAUCAGUCGUUACUAUGCUAGGUCUGUGAAGCAGAAGAGUGCAGUACACAGCAGAAUGAAUACAAAUGUACAGUGACACUCACAUGAUCUAUUUUCUUCAAAAUCUCUAUUUCUGUGUUGAUAUUAAAAGCCGGGUUCUGUUAAAAGAAUCAAAUGUCAUAUGGAAUCAUACAGCAAUAUUCUAGGAUAAGACACUUCAGAAAUAAAGUUCCAACUUAAAAUCUUAAUCUCAGCCAGCAGAGACCAGCACUGUCCUUUGAACAGCUUUCUCCUCCCUUCGAGAUGUUUCCCACAUGAGCUACCCUAAAGUUAAAUGCUACUCACUUUUACUCUUUAUUAUGCUAGAGAAAAUAAAAAGAUUGAUCUGAAAGUAUCUGCAUCUACCUCCUCCUCUGAACCUCUACCACUGGAAAUUAGAGAAGCAUUCACUGAGCUUGUAUAUAAUCCUGCAGAAUUAACAAGUUCAUCCUGUAUCUCUAUAUCAAACGAGAGUGAUCGAUCUGAAGUUGUUUGAGUAUCUCUCAUGUUACAGCCACGGCUCCUUCUCCAGCAGCUAUGAAAGCAGACAUGAGGAAAGCCCUCCCCAGCAGGCUUCACACCAUUUCAUUUAAGUGUUAUGAUGGAAUGUACAACACGAUUAGCAGAGCUUAGAGACCUCUGGUCAGACCUCCCUGCAAUGUAAAUUUCUGAUGUGCUUUAGGAGAUACAUCCCAAGACUUCCCCACUCCCCUCGUUUGUGUGUGCUGCAUGAACAAGCAGUCCUAACAGAGUGUGGUCAAAGAAUAAAAGCAAGUGUUUGCUACACAAGAGGGAGAGUAAGAGAUAAAGGCUGCCAUAUCAGGAUGGCUGCAAUGUGGCCGAAGGACAGAAACAAAGGUACUUACUGCCUCUCUAACACCACUGGCCAUGAACUUCCGCUUGUUGAUUAUCUUUACUGCAACUUUAUUACAAGUGCUCUUCUCAAACGCCAGUUUGACUUCUCCACAGGCACCACUAGCAUGAAAGCACAGCUGUGUUAAUGCUUACAGAUACCUUCCUAACUCAGCCUAAGAAGCAUGCUGAAAUGAACAGGAGGCUCUCAUCUCAUUAAGACUACAUGCAAUCAGAGGCUGCAGCUUUCCACCUUUCUCAGUAUGACAGAUGGACAAAACUAUCUCAGAAAACAUUCAAUAGUAUUUAAGUACUGAUGGUGUUGGAUCCCAGUUUCGACCAACUACAAACACACAUAAAUGUUCUUGCAUGUAAAGAAAAUAGAAAGAUAGAAGGAAAAAAAAAGAUACUUUCAAAUCUUGAGCAAUUAAUUCAGAAAUCACAACCUAUGGCUUUUAAGCAUCUCACAUCUCUGAUAACUCUUGAUUCUGGGAUACUCUAAGUGACAGAUAAUGAUAAAAAGCAUUAACUGAUCACUGAAGACAUACAAUAUAAUUUUGGUGAGGUUCACUAAAAUUACAAACUCAACUCCUUUCUUGAUACUCUGGUCUUAAUAAACACAGAGUGCCACAAUGUGUCUGAGGCUAAAUCUGUUGCAUAAGCAAAGACAUUGCCAGUAAGUGUCAGGUUUUGGCAUUCACAUAAAGGGAAAUAAUUAAGGAACCGCACUGCUUCGUGGUCUCUGUUAACGCAGUUGUUGAUCAGCUUGAAGCUGCAGCUGGAAAAGCAUUUGUCAGUAGGACCACGUCCAUUUGUGUUUUAUCUUCAUUGAAACCCACCACAGUCAUUAGAACACUUAUCACAAACUACUGAAAUAAUCUCUGUUAAACCAAAGCACUGCAAUCCUUACCAAACUGAUUUGCUGUGUGCAACAAACAGAAGGUAAACGCACUGCUAAUGGUACCUGCUGCCCUCCCUGCUCUGUGAAACACCUGAAAUAGCUGUGGCAUUGGAAAAACUACAACAGCAGCUCAGGAAGCACAGUACCGAAAAUGGUAACAAAAUGAAGGGAUGCUUACCUUCCCAAAGUCUUUGACAUGAUGUACUUCUCUCGGAAUUCUCUAGGAAACACCAACUGGUCAUCCACCGUGAGAUCAGAAAAGACAAACACUAGGGAGAGGGGUGGAGAGCAUCCUCCUGUUAUUCACUUCAAAAUGGUUACAACGACACUUCCCAAGCUUUUAUGGUCAACAACACAACCAAGCAAACGCUGCCCGCCAGAAACAGCACAGAAAUAGUAAGGAAAACAAGAAUUAGAAAAUUCAUAUUAAAAAAAAACCAUCAGCUGAUGCUGCAAAUUACAGCAAUGAUUGUUGAGCAGGCAAUCUCAUCACUGAAAAACGAGACCUUGGGUCUGUGCCAAACACAGCGAUAAACUUAUGGCUGUUCUUAUGACUUCAGCCAUACGGCAUUCACAGAGACAAGGGAAAUAUUCAAAUCACUGCACAAAGGACCUCCUGGUGAACACCAGAAGAACCUGCAUACGUCAUGCGAUAGCUCACACGACGCAGAAACAAACCAAAGCAAUCCAAGCUACGGGGAGGACAGACGGAGCGGGCAGCAGAGGAGACACGGACUGCCGAGCAGAGCAGCCGGGAGCUCAGCGGGACGGCACGGAACGGAGCUGCACGAAACGGCACGGAGCUGCACGGCGCAUCCUCGGCCCGACGCGGACAGGAGGCCGGGGCCGGCGGUCACGUACCCCAAUUGCUGAAACCUUUUCCGAGCGCGAAGAGCCGACCCCACGGCUGGGGAACGAGCUCGUCGGGUUCCGGGUCCUCGGGAACGGAGGGCAGCUCCUGCGUGGGCACGGUGUCCAGCGAGCUGAGCGUGCCGGAGCUG